RNAcentral lists this microRNA precursor (63 nucleotides) under Vicugna pacos (alpaca). RNAcentral's name for it is "miRNA (ENSVPAG00000016609.1)". Lineage: Eukaryota; Metazoa; Chordata; Mammalia; Artiodactyla; Camelidae. The record is from RNAcentral.
GGGCUGGGCUGGGCUGGGCUGGGCUGGGCUGGGCUGGGGCUGCACGGGCCAUGCUUCCUAGUG